This 253-nucleotide ribosomal RNA is filed under the name uncultured bacterium. RNAcentral's name for it is "partial 16S ribosomal RNA". It matches the Rfam family "Bacterial small subunit ribosomal RNA", at positions 524 to 776 of the family's 1533-position model. The record is from RNAcentral.
UACGGGGGGGGCAAGCGUUGUUCGGAAUUACUGGGCGUAAAGGGCUCGUAGGUGGCCAACUAAGUCAUACGUGAAAUCCCUCGGCUUAACCGGGGAACUGCGUCUGAUACUGGAUGGCUUGAGAUUGGGAGAGGGAUGCGGAAUUCCAGGUGUAGCGGUGAAAUGCGUAGAUAUCUGGAGGAACACCGGUGGCGAAGGCGGCAUCCUGGACCAAUAUUGACGCUGAGGAGCGAAAGCUAGGGGAGCAAACGGG